GAUGAACGCUGGCGGCGUGCCUAAUACAUGCAAGUCGAGCGAAGCGGGGAGGGGUGAGUAACACGUGGAUAAACUCCUAUACGACUGGGACAACUUCGGGAAACCGGAGUCAAACCGGCAUCUUACAGAUGGAUCCGCGCUGCAUUCGCUAGUUGGUAAGUUAACGGCUUACCAAGGCCACGCUGACUAGCCGGCCUGAGAGGGUGAUGGGCCACACUGGAACUGAGACACGGUCCAGACGCCUACGGGGUUCAGCAGUAGGGAAUCUUCCGCAAUGGGCGAAAGCCUGACGGAGCAACGCCGCGUGUAUGAAGAAGGUCUUCGGAUCUUAAAACACUGUUAUAGGGGAAGCGGUACCUAAUCAGAAAGCCACGGCUAACUACGUGCCAGCAGCCGCGGUAAUAC
Molecule: ribosomal RNA, 405 nt
Filed under: uncultured bacterium
Lineage: Bacteria
Description: partial 16S ribosomal RNA
Rfam family: Bacterial small subunit ribosomal RNA
Source: RNAcentral